Anas platyrhynchos (mallard) is the source of this 528-nucleotide non-coding RNA. NCBI's taxonomy places the organism in Eukaryota, Metazoa, Chordata, Aves, Anseriformes, Anatidae. The record is from RefSeq and is a predicted model, not a curated record.
UAAGUGCUUUGUGUUUCCUUCAGUCAGUUGCAGGGUUCUCUAGGCAGGCUGGAGUCUAUGGAUUUCUAGAAUUUUUAAGUGCUUGGAAUUCACUUAAUAGAGGGAUGUUUAAUAGAGGUUUCUGGCUCACUGUUUUUUUGGGAUGGUGGGAUACUCUUCUGUUUUUGAGCUAUAUUUUAAUCUCUAGAUGUAUAAACCCACUUGUGUAACUCUCCAGAGGGCUAAAACCAGCUUGAUUGCAUGGUACCUGUGGCUUGACAGCGUAGAUGCAGCAUUGCCAAGAGACUGAGCAGAGUUGUAUCAGAGUCACCUUUUUUAUCUGCAAAGGGUGCUUUGUGCAGUUGUGGACAGUGAAGGGAAAUCCUCAUGUCAUGAAGCACUGAGGGAAGGUGGUGUGGAUGAUACUGGCUGCACUGUUGGAGCUUGGAUUCGGAAAGGAAGAGGUGAGCAGAACCGUAUAUUGCAUCAGCAGUAGUCAGCAUUGUGGAGCAGGUGGCCAUCAUGGCUGGCGUGCUAGUGAAUGCUGGU